CCUAGGGACCGUGUCCCUGAGGCCCUGGGGAGAGGCAGACCUCUGUGGCCAUGUCUCGGUCUGCCCUUUCGAGCCGUCGAGGCCACGGUAGGCGGAAGCCCAGGAGCGGCGGAGGGCUGAGCGGGCCCAAGAAACCUGGUCGGGAGCCGCAGGGACUCAGCGCGGGAUCCGUCGUGGCCUCACGCCUGCCUGGCCGCCGUGCAUGACGGAUCUGCCAAUUGAUAACCUCCCAACGCCAUUAUGAAGAGGCACUGGCUGAAGCUUAUAUCCCUCUUUCUCCUACUCACAUUCCACCUCUAAUUUUAAAUAUACAAAAAGGGGGGCACGUAGGGGCUGAGCCUAGAAGAAAGGAUGGAUGGAUGGAUGGAUGGAUGGAUGGAUGGAUGGAUGGAUGGAUGGAUGGAUGGGAAGAACGUGAGCAAGGUGAAUGAAGGGUCAGAUGAAAAUGCCUGCCCAAAGCUGCUUGUUUGCAGAGGUAUACAAGGAAUGUACUUCAACAUAACAAAGACCACACAUGACAAACCCAGAGUUAACAUCAUCCUCAACAGUGGAAAAUUGAAAGUUUUUUUCCUAAGACCAGGAAAAAGACAAGAAUGCACUUGUGUUCAACAUAUUACUGGAAAUACUAGCCAGAGAUAUUUGGCAACAAAAAGGAAUAAAAGGUAUUCAAAUUGGAAA
Molecule: non-coding RNA, 678 nt
Organism: Microcebus murinus (gray mouse lemur)
Lineage: Eukaryota; Metazoa; Chordata; Mammalia; Primates; Cheirogaleidae
Source: RefSeq, a predicted model, not a curated record